CGUCUAUAUACGUAUAGCAUAUCAAUAAGCGGAGGAAAAGAAACUAACAAGGAUUCCCUUAGUAACGGCGAGUGAAGCGGGAAGAGCUCAAAUUUGAAAUCUUCAAGGUUCUACCUUGACGAAUUGUAGUUUAAAGAAGUGUUUUCUGUUAGAGGAGUAGCAAAAGUUCCUUGGAACUGGGACAUCAUAGAGGGUGAGAAUCCCGUAUUUGACCAUUAUUUUCUAGCUGUGUGAUACACUUUCAAAGAGUCGGAUUGUUUGGGAAUGCAGUCCAAAAUGGGUGGUAAAUUUCAUCUAAAGCUAAAUAUUGGCGAGAGACCGAUAGCGAACAAGUACCGUGAGGGAAAGAUGAAAAGAACUUUGAAAAGAGAGUUAAACAGUACGUGAAAUUGUCAAAAGGGAAGCGUUUGACACCAGUGUUGUUUUCUCGAAAAUCAAUUAAGAGUGGCUUGAUUUUGUGUUGUAUUGACCUUAUCAGCUUUCUUCACUCUUUUUCGAAUCUUUCUUAAUGCACUUUUCGGUUAACAAGUCAACAUCAAUUUCUUUUGUUGUAAAAGGGUAUUUGGAAGGUGGCUUUCUUUUCGGAGAAAGUGUUUAUAGCCUUAUACCUCUACAAUCGGAGAGAUUGAGGUCUGCAGCGUAGAUCCUUCGGGGCUAGAUACACUUGUGCUAAGUUAUAGCUUUUCAUAGACAACUUGUUGACUAUGUUUAGUCAUGUAGCUUACCCGCUUGUGCUAUUUUACCUACGCUUAGGAUGUUGAGUCAUCACACAUCUCU
RNAcentral lists this ribosomal RNA (777 nucleotides) under uncultured Neocallimastigales. RNAcentral describes it as "partial large subunit ribosomal RNA". It matches the Rfam family "Eukaryotic large subunit ribosomal RNA", at positions 26 to 614 of the family's 3401-position model. The record is from RNAcentral. Lineage: Eukaryota; Fungi; Neocallimastigomycota; Neocallimastigomycetes; Neocallimastigales.